Molecule: unclassified non-coding RNA, 165 nt
Filed under: uncultured Penicillium
Lineage: Eukaryota; Fungi; Ascomycota; Eurotiomycetes; Eurotiales; Aspergillaceae
Description: sequence contains ITS2
Source: RNAcentral
CUGCCCUCAAGCACGGCUUGUGUGUUGGGCUUCGCCCCCCGGCUCCCGGGGGGCGGGCCCGAAAGGCAGCGGCGGCACCGCGUCCGGUCCUCGAGCGUAUGGGGCUUUGUCACCCGCUCUGUAGGCCCGGCCGGCGCCCGCCGGCGACCCCAAUCAAUCUUUCCA